Molecule: ribosomal RNA, 468 nt
Filed under: uncultured bacterium
Lineage: Bacteria
Description: bacterial SSU rRNA
Rfam family: Bacterial small subunit ribosomal RNA
Source: RNAcentral
ACUGGCGGCGUGCAUAACACAUUCAAGUCGAACGAUGAAGGGACUUCGGUCCUGGAAUAGUGGCGGACGGGUGAGUAACGCGUGAGCAACCUGCCUUGCAUUGGGGGAUAACGUUUGGAAACGAACGCUAAUACCGCAUAACGUAUAAAUAUCGCAUGUUAGAUAUACCAAAGAUUUAUUGAUGCAAGAUGGGCUCGCGUCCGAUUAGAUAGUUGGUGAGGUAACGGCCCACCAAGUCGACGAUCGGUAGCCGGACUGAGAGGUUGAACGGCCACAUUGGAACUGAGAAACGGUCCAGACUCCUACGGGAGGCAGCAGUGGGGAAUAUUGGGCAAUGGGCGAAAGCCUGACCCAAGCGACGCCGCGUGAGGGAAGAAGAUCUUCGGAUUGUAAACCUCUUUCAGCAAGGAAGAAGAAAGUGACGGUACUUGCAGAAGAAGCCACGGCUAACUACGUGCCAGCCGCCGC